AGCCGUAACGUCUGGCUGAGUUA
Molecule: non-coding RNA, 23 nt
Filed under: Arabidopsis thaliana (thale cress)
Lineage: Eukaryota; Viridiplantae; Streptophyta; Magnoliopsida; Brassicales; Brassicaceae
Source: RNAcentral